RNAcentral lists this ribosomal RNA (253 nucleotides) under uncultured bacterium. RNAcentral describes it as "partial 16S ribosomal RNA". It matches the Rfam family "Bacterial small subunit ribosomal RNA", at positions 524 to 776 of the family's 1533-position model. The record is from RNAcentral.
UACGAAGGGGGCGAGCGUUGUUCGGAAUCACUGGGCGUAAAGGGCGCGUAGGCGGCCCUCUUAGUCGCGUGUGAAAGCCCCGGGCUCAACCUGGGAACGGCGCGCGAAACGGGAGGGCUGGAGUUCGGGAGAGGAGAGUGGAAUUCCCAGUGUAGAGGUGAAAUUCGUAGAUAUUGGGAAGAACACCGGUGGCGAAGGCGGCUCUCUGGACCGAGACUGACGCUGAGGCACGAAGGCCAGGGGAGCAAACGGG